This 203-nucleotide ribosomal RNA is filed under the name Hyphomicrobiales bacterium. RNAcentral's name for it is "partial 23S ribosomal RNA". It matches the Rfam family "Bacterial large subunit ribosomal RNA", at positions 2711 to 2925 of the family's 2925-position model. Lineage: Bacteria; Pseudomonadati; Pseudomonadota; Alphaproteobacteria; Hyphomicrobiales. The record is from RNAcentral.
GGUGGACCUGUUGUGGCGCCAGCCGCAUUGCAGGGUAGCUAAGUACGGACGGGAUAACCGCUGAAUGCAUCUAAGCGGGAAACCCACCUCGAAACGAGUACUCCCUUGAGAGCCGUGGAAGACGACCACGUUGAUAGGCCGGGUGUGUAAGUGCGGUAACGCAUUGAGCUGACCGGUCCUAAUAGCUCGAUCGACUUGAUUGC